GUUGAGCUUAAAGGGUUAUGCGUAUGCUGAAAGUUUCAGUUAGUCUUGAAAUGUAACACUUUUUUUCUCUGUUUUAGGUGUUCAUGGAGAUCUAAUUAACGUUACAGGAUUAUGGGCAAGAAUCUCAAGCAUGAAAUCAUUGACCAGAGAAAGUUGGGCAGCUGUUGACAGCUUUCACAACAAAUCAAGGUUGGUCCAUAUCUGUUAUAGACUUGCAUUGCAUAGUUUUUAACAGCUUAAGUAAUGAAAGUGUAUCACAAAAUGUUUACAAUAUUGGUUGUGUAAUGCAAUCAAAAUUGUGCUUGAUUGGUUCUGCUUUCUUGUGAUCAUUUCUUUAAUUUUAUUCAACAGUGAUUCAUUUUACUCCCCAACAGACUAAAGAGCCGACUGAUACUAGGUCUCUGAUGCUCAGAGGACUCCCUAUCAUUCAUUUGGCGACAAACCUACAGAUUUCUACAAAGUAUGCUUUGACUCUGAUGACAUUGGAAUCCUCCUCAUUGAGCAUGAAGGUGACAUGCUCUCAUCUUCUCUCCAUCUCAAUCCAACCUCAUUGAAGAUCAUCAUUGAAGGAGAAGUUGUGAUGGACAAUAUUAACGACUUGCCAAAAGCUAUGCGCAUUCUAGAU
Molecule: long non-coding RNA, 625 nt
Filed under: Sinocyclocheilus grahami
Lineage: Eukaryota; Metazoa; Chordata; Actinopteri; Cypriniformes; Cyprinidae
Description: lncRNA (ENSSGRG00000034760.1)
Source: RNAcentral